Molecule: long non-coding RNA, 1590 nt
Organism: Zea mays
Lineage: Eukaryota; Viridiplantae; Streptophyta; Magnoliopsida; Poales; Poaceae
Exons: 3
Source: RefSeq, a predicted model, not a curated record
GCCACUGCCAGCCCCUAGCCAGUAGAUGGCUGCUGCCCGCGGUGGCCAAUGGUUACCAGCGGUGUCUUGGUUAAAUCAAUCAGCAGCCAGCGUAGUUCUUCCUCCUCCCUUUGUUCCUUAGCGCAGAAGCAUCUCCUAGCGUCUUCCUCCUCUCUGGUUCAGCGCAGGAGCAGGGCCACCAUGGGCGCUCGACCCCUCCCCCCUUGGCUUCACCUCCCUCGACGGCGCCCUUCUUCCCCAAGAGCAGGGAGCAGCCGCUCCCAUCUCCCAGCAGCUCGACCCUACGAGCUCCCCUCUCUCUGCAACCACCAGCUCCAAGUCGGCCAUGGGAUCUUCGUCUUCCGAAGCGCCCAGCCUCCCCAACUCGACACACUUUCGCCUCUGGCCAUGCCCCCUGCACAGCGUCAUACUCCCCCAUUAGCUCAGCCCCCCCUUUCUUGCACCUCUAGCAGCAAGGGCCUCCAUGGCCAUGGCUACUCCUCUCAGUGCCCUGCGCACCUUGAGUGUGGCCAUGGCCGACCUCCACUCUCCCUUGGUCGGCGCAGGGCCCCCUCUGGUCUGAGCUCGCGCCGGUGAACACCCCCCCCCCAUGGUGUGGUCUUUUCCCCGUCCAUGGUCACUAGUUCCCUACGCCCUCCUCUACCGACUCCUCCCUCUGUUCAUCUCUGUUUUGGGCACCGUCCAGCGCCCCCUCCGCCCACUGCAUCGCCGACAGGCUCACCCUCAAGCCAAUGCUAGCCUCAUCUUUCUCCAUGGCGCCCUUCCUUGCGCACAACAGUGAACCCUCCUCGCUGUUCUCCGUGGUGCCCAUCGGCUGUUCGACAAAAUGCCCGGGUGAGCAUUGUGUCGUGGACAGCGCCAUGGUGGUGCCCUAUGUCCUCGCUACUCGCUGCACAGCCUCGUCUUGCGCUCGCCUACUCUCCAAGCAGCAGCAGUAGCAGCGCUCCUCACGCUCGACCUCGGCAAGGACGAGCAGCCCCAUCCACGACACCAAAAUUCUUUGCCCCUUGUCGUCGUCGCGCUUCGUCCGUUGUUUCUCGACAGAAAGCCAAACCGACAUGCAUGCAUGCACAACUCCACUCGGGUUUCGGCCAGGAUCGAGAGAUGGUGAUCGUGCGGGAUAAAGGACAUGGAGUAGAGCUGACUCCAAGACGGUGUUGGCAGACGCCUUGAAUAUGGACAGACAGAACAAAGGCCAGGAUAGGAGAUGCUCGCCAAGCGAGUAUCCCCCAGCAAACACUAUCUAGUGUUGAAUUCCAUGCAAGCCCCGGUUUUAUGCAUAACCGUUAUAUAUAUGCUAUUUUACUACACUUAAUGUUUGUAGGCUUGUACCGUGCACUUAAGUGUAGGAGUUGCUUGAAACCCUAGUUGCAUGAACUCAGGAUUCCUUUUGAGAUGGAUACUAAUAUGCUAUGUCGAGUAGCUGCUAUGCUAAAUCAGGAUCUCGGUAGAAGUCGAGUGAUUUUUUAGCACUCGCGCGAGGUCAAGAAUUGGUUGUAUCCAUUUUGAUAACAGAAUGAUGAUGGUCUGUGGACACGGAUCCAUGGGGAUGCGUUGUCUAUGAGACGAAAUUGGAAUAAGGAUUAACGU